GACACGCGCCACUGUUUUUGUUUUCAAACAGGGGUACUUAACCGAAACUAGCAAUCCCAGGCGGUACAAGGCCCUCCAUCGUAGGCAAAGCACUACCUGAAUGUAGAUUUGGGCCAUACGUUGGAAAAUAAGACAUGAGAGUAUGCUCCGAUCAACUUUUACUGUUCACUGGACAACUAUUUUGGGAAUUUGCAGACCUAUAAAGCCCAUCUAUAAAUCUCAAGCAUGUCCACUUUCAGAGAAGAGAAAUGCUGACAACCAUUUAGUCUCUGAGGACAACACUUUUAAAGUUAUACAGGACUCCAUCAUAGGACUGGAGAGAGAUUGGAUGUCAGAGUGAUUGAUGUGCUCCUACUGGAAGAAGGCAAACAUCCAUAUGUGAACUGCCUGUGGGGUUUCCAAGGAAAGGAACGGCAGGCAGCCUCUAUGAGCUUAAAGAAGAUAACUGGGACUUUAGUCCUAUAACCUCAAGGAACAGUAUUCUGUGAACCAUCUGAGAAGCUUGGAAGAGGACCCCAAACUCCAAAUAAGAAGCUCAGUGUGUCUGACACCUUGACUGCAGGCUUGGGAGGUCCUGAGCAGAAGAUCCAGUUCAACAGUGCCUGGACUCCUGAUCCACAAAAACUGAUAACAAAUAUUUAUUGUUUUAAGAUGCUAAGUUUGUAGUCAUUUUUUAUACAGCAACAGAAAACUAAACACACACAUAAACAGUUAUAAG
This 718-nucleotide long non-coding RNA is filed under the name Homo sapiens (human). RNAcentral describes it as "HSALNT0335940". The record is from RNAcentral. Lineage: Eukaryota; Metazoa; Chordata; Mammalia; Primates; Hominidae.